RNAcentral lists this ribosomal RNA (253 nucleotides) under uncultured bacterium. RNAcentral describes it as "partial 16S ribosomal RNA". It matches the Rfam family "Bacterial small subunit ribosomal RNA", at positions 524 to 776 of the family's 1533-position model. The record is from RNAcentral.
UACGUAGGGUGCGAGCGUUAAUCGGAAUCACUGGGCUUAAAGGGCGCGUAGGCGGGCUGUCAAGUCUGGGGUGAAAUGCCGCGGCUCAACCGUGGAACUGCCUUAGAUACUGACGGCCUCGAGGGAGGUAGGGGCGUGCGGAACUGUAGGUGGAGCGGUGAAAUGCGUUGAUAUCUACAGGAACUCCGGUGGCGAAAGCGGCGCGCUGGACCUCUUCUGACGCUGAGGCGCGAAAGCUAGGGGAGCAAACGGG